GAAAAAUGCACUGUGUCUGCCUGGCUUAUCCAGGGAAGCAGCUCAGACUGGAGUUCUAAGCCUGUUUGCAAGGACUCUAGUGACAUCAUUUUCCUCCACUUCAAAGUCCUCACUGACCUCUUCAGCUUGAAGAGAAAUCUCAUGACUCCACCCACACUGUCUCCGACCUAGCCCAUCUCAUCAGAACCCAGGUUCUGUUUCAUCAUGAAUGUUAACCAGAGAGCAAAUGCUCAGAAGAGAAGCUUUCUGUAGUGGGAAACCUGCUGAGUAGAAGAAUAGAGGUUCAGAGAGUAUCUUACAAGAUGGAACAUUCCUGAUGGUGCCAGUGCGAGGUCAG
RNAcentral lists this long non-coding RNA (337 nucleotides) under Vulpes vulpes (red fox). Its description in RNAcentral is "lncRNA (ENSVVUG00000001415.1)". Lineage: Eukaryota; Metazoa; Chordata; Mammalia; Carnivora; Canidae. The record is from RNAcentral.